CUCCCGCGUCCUGGUCCCUGGCUCCCAGGAUGGUAGGAACCCUGCAGGCUCGGAGCAGCCUCUCCACAUGAGCGCUGGUCUGUGCACUUGCAGGUGCUGACUCACUCCAUGUCCCAGGAGGUCCUGGUGCUGUCGCAUCGCAGACACAGAGGAAACUGAGGCCCAGCAGUUGGGCAGAGGACCCCUGGCCAUGUGGCAUCCCCCUCGCCAUCCAUAACACUCACCCUUGGGAGGCAGGAGGGUGGCAGGAGGAGGAGAGGAGGUGACAGAUGCUGUGAGGGGUGCAGUGGGAGGUCCUGGAGAAUGGCAGCAAGGGGCCUGGGCAACUCUCAAACGCCCCCACCAGGGGCUCUCAGGUCCGCGCCCUGUGCCCACGGACGACAGCCCUCCUUCCUCCCUGCGCAUAGAGGCAGCCAGCAUUCUGGGCGCCUCUCCAGAUGGACCCAGGGUGACCCAAGCGGACAAACACUUCAGCUCUCAGACCAGACAGGCAUUUCAAAUCCUCAGGCACACGGGAGAGCGAGGCGUGGGCACUGGUGGUCUCAGUCCUCCUGGCCCAAGGGACCAGAAAGCCCCAAAUCCAGGGGCCAAAUGCAACAAAGGGGGCCCUCCAGAACCCAGACCUGGGUCACAGGCCCCGCCAGGCCUCGGGGCAAAGGUCACACAGCAGUCCCUGCACGCCAGGUCCUGGACGUCCAGGGGGUGAGGCACGUGACGUGACUGAGACCAGAGUCAAGGGCAAACUCCCCACCCCUCAGUGGGAGGGCGCCACAAAGUUACAGAGCAGAAGCCUGGACACAGGUCAUGGUGAGGCCUGGGGACACCAACACGAUCUGUCAUGGGGGGGACAGAUAACUCAACUUUAAAGUCAAGGCUGCUGGAUCAUGACAAGGCAUAUCCCAACCCAGUGUGCUCAUCACCUGGAGAUUCUGGACCUGGAGGUGGACGUCGAGACCAGACCGGCUUUAGGAGGCAGAGAAUGUGCUCUGUGGGAGCAGGACGGCUCCGCUCGCACCGAGCCUGGACGUUCAGAGAAGGACCGAGCGCAGGAGGCCCGCCUCGAGCUCCCUCUGCUUCUCCCAGGACACCUUUCAAAACGACUGCUCAGAGUGGAGCCCGAGAAAAUAACCCUCAGGUACCCGGCUUCACUCCCAGUGACCCACGUGGGACUUGCGCUUGCUGCCUCUCCACUAGGCUGUGUGGAUCAGAGGAGGACCAUUCCACCAGUGGACACGGCAGGAGUCCCGCUGACCUUUAGGCCAUAGCUCCUGCUUUGUCACUUUGGGUUCUUUGUCCCCAGGGACCCAGAGGCAGGACAAGGAGUCCCCAGACUGUCAGGGAGACUGACAGUGACCAUGAGGAAGUAGGACUGCUGAUCCACAAUGGGGCCUGGGUGGCCCACCGGGGUCUCUUGGUAUCUCCCUGCCCAUUUUACUGGAGAGUGGGCCAGUGCAGCAGCCACAGCCUGAGACAGGAAUGCUGACUAGAGGGUCAUUCCCCCAGCAGGCGAUGCUCACGCAGUGUCCCUCCCUAGGAAAUGCCCCCGCCAAGGGGAGCUGCCCCACCUGAGGUUUUGCCCCCUCCCUGCUGGCAGCCUGGACCCAACGAAUGACCAGAGGACGAAGCAAAAAGGCUGGUUCCUCUGCCUCAAUUCAGGACAUCUCUCAAGGGCCAGAGACGUCCUGAGGUACCAUGCGAAGCCUUCGUCCUCGGGAGCCCGUCAAAGCUCGACAUCCGCCUCUGCCCGCCCUGCUUCCGGGGCUCUCUCACACGCUUGCUCCAAGUCCUCCCCACGAAACCUCUGGCCUGACCUCUCUGUCUCAGAGUGUCUUUCUCAGGAAACCCAAUCGCAGACUCUUUCCAGACAAUGAAUCCUCAGGAGGUGUCCAGGCCUCUAGCUGGGUUGACACCUCUCCACCCCGGGACCUGAGGGUAUUGCUCGUCCCCCAGGCCUAGCGUUUCGUGGUGGGCACUGGCACGCCCACACUGGCUGUUAAAAUGCUAAGCUACUUCCAUACAGACUCAUAAGCAGCCCCUGCCUCGAGCCUCCAGGUGUCCCCACGAGGCCACCCCAGCCAAUCCCCCAGGAUCCAUCCAGGGCACCACAGAGGACUCCUGGAAGGAUGCUCAGCACUGUGGCCAGGCCCUUCUGAUGGGUCAGUACCCCGCAGUGUCACCUGCUAACCAUCUCAUCUCACCUGUGUGAGUCCGCUCGGACGGCCGUAACAAGGCACUGCGGACGGGGCGCAGACAAUAGCAGUUUACUUCUCGCAGUCCUGGAGGCUGGAUGUCCAAGAGGGAGCUGUCAGCAGAGUUGGUUCCUCCCAGGGUUGUGAGGGAGAAUCUGGUCCAGGGAAUUUUGGGGGCUCCUUGGCUUGUAGAGGCAUCACCCCAAUCUCUGCCUCCAUCUUCACAUGACGUUCUCCUUGAGUCUUUCUCUAGUCUCCCUCCGCCUUUCUCUUAUAAGAACACUUGUCAUUGGAUUUAGGGUCCACUCUGAAUGCCAUUUAGGAGAGGCAGGGGCUGUGCUUAGCCAGGGCCCUCUGCUCUAACGGGGACGCACAGCAGCACCCGGCCCCAGUGGGUGACGGGAUCUGACCCCAGAGUGUCCCAAAGGAGAGGGCCGUGGGAGCUGCUGCCCUGCAGCUGAUCGAGCCAGACCCACGUGCCCGACAAGGUCCAAGGUCGGCUGGGGGGCCUCCAACGCAGACCCCACCCCUCCAGGAAGCCUGGCUCACCCACCCCAGGACUCUGGGAAGGAAGCAGGCUGGAGCCAGGACCCAUCCUGGACCCCGUAUAUGCUCCCUGCCCACCCCCGAGACUUGGCCUGCCCCGCUAUCCCAUCCCCCUGGGCAGGCCUGGCCACCUGAGCCUGUGUUUGAGGUCGAAGGUUGCUUGGCUGCACCCAGAUUCAGGGCUCAGCCCAGGUCCAGUGCCCUCAGGUUGGGCACCCAGUGGGAAGUGCCCGCACUGGAUCUGCCACGUCCCCUGCCACCCUCUGCCCUUGCUGGUAGGGGUGGGGAGAGAGUGAGGCCUGAAUGAUGGGGGUACAGGCAGCCGUCGCGGAGCCCCGGCGCACUUUGGGGACGGGGACGAGCAGAGGGGAGGUCGAACCUCGGCGUUCUCUCCGCUGAGGUCCUUUCCUACCCUCCUGGCAGACUCAGGCCCUCUACUUGGGGGGACUCCUUCUCCACCCUCCCCUGCGCCGGUGCCCCCACCUCAGGAAAUGGCCUUUCCACCCCGAUACAGCCAAGCCUGGGAGCCUCCCUCAGCGCCCCCUUCCCGCCUGCCCAUCACCUGGGCUGUCCCCCAAAUAGCCCUGUUGUCACGCUGUGGCUCCAUCUGGCCUCUCCGUCGCCCACCUGGGCCCCUGGAUGACUGCCCCCUCCCCCUCCCCCCCAAUCUGUCUUCAAUGUCACGGCCAAAGGCAUCCAAAUUCCUGAUGAGCAUCGUGCCCUCCUCUGCAGAAGCCUGGAGCCCCACUGCCUGAAGACCCACUGCCCAUGGUCAAAUCCUGGCUCCUGGGUGGAACCUUUGCGACCCCAGGGCCCGUCUCUGCUCCCCUGCGCCCUGCCCCCUCAUCCGCCAAGGUGCUCCCACCUGCCAUCUGAGGGCGUGGCUUUGACAUUUUCUCUCCCGAUUAUGUAGUCAUUUGGAGACCAGAGCCGGCCCUUUGGUGAAGCUGUGACAGGAGGCAGAUCUGACUGCAUUCCUCUUCCUUAAUCUUAAGAACUGAAACCACAUACCACCCCCCCACCCCCACCACGGUUCAGAUACUGAGGACGCCCGCCCCCACGCCACAGCCUGCAGUCUCCAUUGGCAGGACACCCUCCUCGUCCGCAGCCUGUUCGAAGCCUUGGGCUCAUGGGGACCCAUCAACUCUCCAAGGAGAAGCAUCCACGACAGUUAGGUCCCCGACCCCUCCCCUGCUGGGGACCCCUGCAGCCUGGGCGUUACCAGUCCCCAACAAGCUUCCCACUUUUGAAAGACCCACCUUCAACCAAACUUCCUGCUCUCAGUAGCCCCGCCUCGGCCCCCACCUGUGUGGGCACCCCUCCUUCUCCUGUGCAUGGCCCAUUUCUCUUUCAGGUCUCAGCCGGGCAGCCCCCUCCCCACAAGUACGUUCCGGGACCCAAGCGUCCUCUUUGUGGCCCCAAUCGUGUUGAUGUAAAGAAGGCAAUGUUGAUAGCUGGUGUCUGAGUUCGUCCAGGGGGAGAAAGACCCCUGGGAGCCUCUGGCUGAAGGCCUGGACCCUGAGGGUCCCUGGAGCUGGAAUAGGGCCUGGAGGCACAGGGAAAGCACCGAGGUCCCCUCCUCCUAGGGGAU
Equus caballus (horse) is the source of this 4326-nucleotide long non-coding RNA. The record is from Ensembl. Lineage: Eukaryota; Metazoa; Chordata; Mammalia; Perissodactyla; Equidae.